ACGACCGCAGGAUAGAAAUACACAAACCUCAACCAAAACGCCACUCUAUAGAGAGACCUCAGGCCAGUCCAUUAGGGACUACAGCGGGGUGUCGCAGCUCAAGGAAGAACAUUUAUGAUCAUUUCUUUAUCAUUUCCUUGAAGUAAUAAUCAUCAUAUUAAUCAUUUUACAGACGCGGUAGUUCUUCUGUCUUAGCGUCUCGGUCUGAUUGUAUUUCCAUGAAGAAAUGAUCAUAAAUGUUCUUCCUUGAGCUGCGGCACCCCGCUGUAGUCUGUAAUGGACUGGCCUGAGGUCUCACUACAAACAAGCGUCUGCUGGAAGAGAGUAGGUGAGUUGUGUUUAGUCUCUUUGCUAAAGAAAUGAGUCAAAGUUAAAAAGAUGUUUGGUGUCUAGUACUAUGUCUGUGACCCUAUAUGUACUAACCUCAGUAGAACAUGGUGUAGUUCCGUUCAGUAACAGAACCUCAUUGGAAAAUUAGCUGAUUUAACUUUACUGUGCUCUUGUUCAAAUAUAUUAACUCGACAGCACAUAAAUCCAUACCUGUUAACAAAAUCAUGAUUUUAUUGAUAAUUCGGCUCAAUAAAAACACCUUUACCUUUUCAUUUUACUACAGUAGUUUAUUGGCCCAGCUUAUAGACUACAGAGGUGGAGAAACGCCCCCGCUUAAGUUUGUUUUCUUAGAACAACUCUGAAUAUAGAACUAUGUCUGUGACCCUAUAUGUCCUGUUGAUGAAGUUAGGUGCUGUUCUGAGCAUUAUUUGUGGCUAUAGAGUGGCGUUUUGGUUUAGGGCGUGGCUCUCUGUAUUACUAUCCUGCGGUCGUUACUAAAGUUGGUAUAACUAGAGAAGGAAGCGGUCGGCAACAUUCAUCUCUGGAGGGGGGGUCUAACUCGGUGUUACGGUGGGUUUGACCCUAAAUUAAUUUUACGCCUAUCCCUUUAAGACGCCCCCUCCCAUAAAGCCCACUUUCUUCUGAUUGUUCCGGAACACUACUCAAGAGAACACGUUGUCAUCACAACAUGACAUCAUAAAGGGAGGCAGAAUUCCGCAACUUUGUGACAUCAUCAAGUGUCCAGAGUUAGACAAGAAGAGAGUAGAAGCUGAUUUUUGGAGCUCUGGAAUCUGAUCAACUUUGUUUUUUGUUUUGUUUUUUUAUGAUUAGCUAAAAAUCCAAAAAGGGUUAAAUCCACCGCUCUUUAGCGUGAUCCCCGCCCAUAAAGGUCACAGCCCAGCCCCCAUCCAAGAAAGUCGGAGGAGGUGCUGUUCUGAGCAUUAUUUGUGGCUAUAGAGUGGCGUUUUGGUUGGGGGCGUGGCUCUCUGUAUUACUAUCCUGCGGUCGUUACUAAAGUUGGUAUAACUAGAGAAGCAAGCGGUCGACAACAUUCAUCUGUGGAGGGGGGGUCUAACUCGGUGUUACGGUGGGUUUGACCCUAAAUUCACCACCAGCACGUGUCUGUAACUGCGUCUCUCUCUCUUCUGUUGGUUUUCUCUUCGUCUCUUAAACUGA
Molecule: non-coding RNA, 1506 nt
Organism: Xyrichtys novacula (pearly razorfish)
Lineage: Eukaryota; Metazoa; Chordata; Actinopteri; Labriformes; Labridae
Source: the annotation of a GenBank genome assembly